AUAGGUUAAUGAGGCGAACCGGGGGAACUGAAACAUCUAAGUACCCCGAGGAAAAGAAAUCAACCGAGAUUCCCCCAGUAGCGGCGAGCGAACGGGGAGCAGCCCAGAGCCUGAAUCAGUGUGUGUGUUAGUGGAAGCGUCUGGAAAGGCGCGCGAUACAGGGUGACAGCCCCGUACACAAAAAUGCACAUGCUGUGAGCUCGAUGAGUAGGGCGGGACACGUGGUAUCCUGUCUGAAUAUGGGGGGACCAUCCUCCAAGGCUAAAUACUCCUGACUGACCGAUAGUGAACCAGUACCGUGAGGGAAAGGCGAAAAGAACCCCGGCGAGGGGAGUGAAAAAGAACCUGAAACCGUGUACGUACAAGCAGUGGGAGCACGCUUAGGCGUGUGACUGCGUACCUUUUGUAUAAUGGGUCAGCGACUUAUAUUCUGUAGCAAGGUUAACCGAAUAGGGGAGCCGAAGGGAAACCGAGUCUUAACUGGGCGUUAAGUUGCAGGGUAUAGACCCGAAACCCGGUGAUCUAGCCAUGGGCAGGUUGAAGGUUGGGUAACACUAACUGGAGGACCGAACCGACUAAUGUUGAAAAAUUAGCGGAUGACUUGUGGCUGGGGGUGAAAGGCCAAUCAAACCGGGAGAUAGCUGGUUCUCCCCGAAAGCUAUUUAGGUAGCGCCUCGUGAAUUCAUCUCCGGGGGUAGAGCACUGUUUCGGCAAGGGGGUCAUCCCGACUUACCAACCCGAUGCAAACUGCGAAUACCGGAGAAUGUUAUCACGGGAGACACACGGCGGGUGCUAACGUCCGUCGUGAAGAGGGAAACAACCCAGACCGCCAGCUAAGGUCCCAAAGUCAUGGUUAAGUGGGAAACGAUGUGGGAAGGCCCAGACAGCCAGGAUGUUGGCUUAGAAGCAGCCAUCAUUUAAAGAAAGCGUAAUAGCUCACUGGUCGAGUCGGCCUGCGCGGAAGAUGUAACGGGGCUAAACCAUGCACCGAAGCUGCGGCAGCGACACUAUGUGUUGUUGGGUAGGGGAGCGUUCUGUAAGCCUGUGAAGGUGUACUGUGAGGUAUGCUGGAGGUAUCAGAAGUGCGAAUGCUGACAUAAGUAACGAUAAAGCGGGUGAAAAGCCCGCUCGCCGGAAGACCAAGGGUUCCUGUCCAACGUUAAUCGGGGCAGGGUGAGUCGACCCCUAAGGCGAGGCCGAAAGGCGUAGUCGAUGGGAAACAGGUUAAUAUUCCUGUACUUGGUGUUACUGCGAAGGGGGGACGGAGAAGGCUAUGUUGGCCGGGCGACGGUUGUCCCGGUUUAAGCGUGUAGGCUGGUUUUCCAGGCAAAUCCGGAAAAUCAAGGCUGAGGCGUGAUGACGAGGCACUACGGUGCUGAAGCAACAAAUGCCCUGCUUCCAGGAAAAGCCUCUAAGCAUCAGGUAACAUCAAAUCGUACCCCAAACCGACACAGGUGGUCAGGUAGAGAAUACCAAGGCGCUUGAGAGAACUCGGGUGAAGGAACUAGGCAAAAUGGUGCCGUAACUUCGGGAGAAGGCACGCUGAUAUGUAGGUGAAGUCCCUCGCGGAUGGAGCUGAAAUCAGUCGAAGAUACCAGCUGGCUGCAACUGUUUAUUAAAAACACAGCACUGUGCAAACACGAAAGUGGACGUAUACGGUGUGACGCCUGCCCGGUGCCGGAAGGUUAAUUGAUGGGGUCAGCGCAAGCGAAGCUCUUGAUCGAAGCCCCGGUAAACGGCGGCCGUAACUAUAACGGUCCUAAGGUAGCGAAAUUCCUUGUCGGGUAAGUUCCGACCUGCACGAAUGGCGUAAUGAUGGCCAGGCUGUCUCCACCCGAGACUCAGUGAAAUUGAACUCGCUGUGAAGAUGCAGUGUACCCGCGGCAAGACGGAAAGACCCCGUGAACCUUUACUAUAGCUUGACACUGAACAUUGAGCCUUGAUGUGUAGGAUAGGUGGGAGGCUUUGAAGUGUGGACGCCAGUCUGCAUGGAGCCGACCUUGAAAUACCACCCUUUAAUGUUUGAUGUUCUAACGU
Molecule: ribosomal RNA, 2037 nt
Filed under: Escherichia coli
Lineage: Bacteria; Pseudomonadati; Pseudomonadota; Gammaproteobacteria; Enterobacterales; Enterobacteriaceae
Description: partial 23S ribosomal RNA
Rfam family: Bacterial large subunit ribosomal RNA
Source: RNAcentral